RNAcentral lists this ribosomal RNA (306 nucleotides) under uncultured bacterium. Its description in RNAcentral is "bacterial SSU rRNA". It matches the Rfam family "Bacterial small subunit ribosomal RNA", at positions 30 to 327 of the family's 1533-position model. The record is from RNAcentral.
AUUGAACGCUGGCGGCAUGCUUUACACAUGCAAGUCGAGCGGGGUAGAGGGGCAACUCUCUAUUCAGCGGCGGACGGGUGAGUAAUGCAUCGGAACGUAUCCCGUAGUGGGGGACAACCCAGCGAAAGCUGGGCUAAUACCGCAUAUGCUCUGAGGAGGAAAGCAGGGGACCCAGCGGGCAACUGAGGGGCCUUGUGCUAUGGGAGCGGCCGAUGUCCGANAGCUGGUUGGUGAGGUAAAGGCUUACCAAGGCGACGAUCGGUAGCUGGUCUGAGAGGAUGAUCAGCCACACUGGGACUGAGACAC